Molecule: ribosomal RNA, 858 nt
Filed under: Verrucomicrobia bacterium SCGC AAA240-E08
Lineage: Bacteria; Pseudomonadati; Verrucomicrobiota
Description: SSU rRNA
Rfam family: Bacterial small subunit ribosomal RNA
Source: RNAcentral
ACGACGCUGGCGGCGUGGAUAAGACAUGCAAGUCGAGCGAUGAUCCAACGAUAGCAAUAUUGGAGGGGAUUAGCGGCGAACGGGUGAGUAACACGUAGGAAUCUGCCCUGAAGUUCGGAAUAGCCCAGUGAGAGCCGGGAUAAUACCGGAUGUGAUCUUCGGAUUAAAGGCUUCGGCCGCUUCAGGAUGAGCCUGCGCUCCAUCAGCUUGUUGGUAGGGUAAAAGCCUACCAAGGCGAGGACGGAUAGCUGGUCUGAGAGGACGGCCAGCCACAAUGGAACUGAGACACGGUCCAUACACCUACGGGUGGCAGCAGUCGAGAAUCAUUCACAAUGGGCGAAAGCCUGAUGGUGCGACGCCGCGUGGGGGAUGAAGGCCUUCGGGUCGUAAACCCCUGUCGGUUGCGAGUAAGGCCCGGCUUACGUCGGGAUUGAUAUUAGCAACAAAGGAAGGGGCGGCUAACUCCGUGCCAGCAGCCGCGGUAAUACGGAGGCCCCAAGCGUUGUUCGGAUUUACUGGGCGUAAAGCGUGCGUAGGCGGCGAGGUAAGUUUGGCGUGAAAGCCCCGGGCCCAACCCGGGAAAUGCGCUGAAAACUACUUCACUAGAGGUGUGGAGGGGAGUCUGGAAUUCCUGGUGUAGCAGUGAAAUGCGUAGAUAUCAGGAGGAACAUCAGUGGCGAAGGCGAGACUCUGGAAACAUUCUGACGCUGAGGUACGAAGGCUAGGGUAGCGAAGAGGAUUAGAUACCCUCGUAGUCCUAGCAGUAAACGGUGUGCACUUGCUGUGGGGGGAUUCGACCCCUUCCGUGGCGAAGCUAACGCAUUAAGUGCACCGCCUGGGGAGUACGGCCGCAAGUAA